GACGAACGCUGGCGGCGUGCCUAAUACAUGCAAGUAGAACGCUGAAGGAGGAGCUUGCUUCUCUGGAUGAGUUGCGAACGGGUGAGUAACGCGUAGGUAACCUGCCUGGUAGCGGGGGAUAACUAUUGGAAACGAUAGCUAAUACCGCAUAAGAGUAGAUGUUGCAUGACAUUUGCUUAAAAGGUGCAAUUGCAUCACUACCAGAUGGACCUGCGUUGUAUUAGCUAGUUGGUGAGGUAACGGCUCACCAAGGCAACGAUACAUAGCCGACCUGAGAGGGUGAUCGGCCACACUGGGACUGAGACACGGCCCAGACUCCUACGGGAGGCAGCAGUAGGGAAUCUUCGGCAAUGGACGGAAGUCUGACCGAGCAACGCCGCGUGAGUGAAGAAGGUUUUCGGAUCGUAAAGCUCUGCUGUAAGAGAAGAACGAGUGUGAGAGUGGAAAGUUCACACUGUGACGGUAUCUUACCAGAAAGGGACGGCUAACUACGUG
RNAcentral lists this ribosomal RNA (495 nucleotides) under uncultured bacterium. Its description in RNAcentral is "partial 16S ribosomal RNA". It matches the Rfam family "Bacterial small subunit ribosomal RNA", at positions 28 to 507 of the family's 1533-position model. The record is from RNAcentral.